ACAGAAAUCCAGAGAUAGAGCUGAGAACCCCAGGCCUCCCAACAGACGUGUUGUUAAGGUGGUAUAUAAUCAAUUCUCAAUUAUUUUCAACAAGGAAAGGAAGCAUUAGAGCUGGUACCAGAAGACUACAGGAAGCCUGCUCAGCAGGCUGGAGUCACGGAGGACUCAGGGGCCAGGCACACACGCUGCCGGCACUAGGAGUUCUUGAUUGG
RNAcentral lists this long non-coding RNA (212 nucleotides) under Homo sapiens (human). Its description in RNAcentral is "HSALNT0299522". The record is from RNAcentral. Lineage: Eukaryota; Metazoa; Chordata; Mammalia; Primates; Hominidae.